AAAAUUUAUCUUAUGUUUAGAUAAUUUAUUAAACGAGUGAUCUCAAUCUCAAGUGCAUUUUGUCCCAAACAUGAGUAGGCUCGUGAAUAGGGGUGGUAAUCAAGUUCGCUGUUCGCAAGCUAGCUUGUGUUCGGCUCGAAAUGAGAGCGAGAUCGACUCGCUUGUUUAGUAAACGAGCCGAACAUGAGCUGAAUUUUUCAACUCGUUUAGUAAAGGAGUCGAGCAAGAGCUGGGAUUAACUCGGUCAUGUUCGGCUCGAUAACAGUUUGAAUACAUACAUUUUAUAUUUAUAUAAAAAAAUAAAUAAUUAUAUAUAUAAUAUAAAUUUUUAUUAUUUAAUUUUUGGUCCAAUCUAAAUAUAAAGUCUAACUCAAUUAUAAAAAUGUCUAUGUAUAUGUAAAAUUUCAACCGUUAGAUCAAAGCCUGAUGGGUACAAUCUCAUAAAUUUAUUUUCUAUAUAUAUCAUUUUUAAUCCUUUUAACUUAUUUGUUGGUGAGCCAGCUUGUGUUCGGCUCGUAUUCGGCUCGUUAAUAAACGAGCCGAACAUGAGCUAAAUUUUCGACUUUAUACUUUAACGAGCCAGUUCGUGUUCGGAUCGUUUAUGAAAUGAGUCGAACACGAGCCGACCCCAGCUCGCGUGUUCAGCUCGUUGACACCUCUACUCGUGAACAUACCAAAUGAAACUCAUCCAAUUUAGAAACUAAAGAUCUUUU
RNAcentral lists this long non-coding RNA (713 nucleotides) under Ananas comosus (pineapple). Its description in RNAcentral is "long non-coding RNA (ACOM_LNC020746)". The record is from RNAcentral. Lineage: Eukaryota; Viridiplantae; Streptophyta; Magnoliopsida; Poales; Bromeliaceae.